This is a non-coding RNA of Arvicanthis niloticus (Nile rat), 131 nucleotides long. The record is from RefSeq and is a predicted model, not a curated record. Lineage: Eukaryota; Metazoa; Chordata; Mammalia; Rodentia; Muridae.
CCCUGAAUUCAAGAGUGAUUUUGCGACACCUAUGACCUGCUCGUUGUUACUACUGAAAGAGGAUGCCAAAAGCCUUUCUCUGUGUUUCGAAGGUCCAUUUCUGUCCUUGCUAAACCUGGAGCUUUUGAACA